AACCCUUGCCAUCAGUGCUACGAAAGGGCACUCUGAUGGGACUGCCGGUGACAAACCGGAGGAAGUGGGGAUGACGUCAAGUCCUCAUGGCCCUUAUAGGUGGGCUACACACGUCAUACAAUGGCCGGUACAAAGGGCAGCCAACCCGCGAGGGGGAGCCAAAUCCCAUAAAGCCGGUCGUAGUCCGGAUCGCAGUCUGCAACUCGACUGCGUGAAGUCGGAAUCGCUAGUAAUCGUGGAUCAGUAUGUCACGGUGAAUACGUUCCCGGGUCUU
RNAcentral lists this ribosomal RNA (274 nucleotides) under uncultured Hydrogenophaga sp. Its description in RNAcentral is "partial 16S ribosomal RNA". It matches the Rfam family "Bacterial small subunit ribosomal RNA", at positions 1100 to 1382 of the family's 1533-position model. Lineage: Bacteria; Pseudomonadati; Pseudomonadota; Betaproteobacteria; Burkholderiales; Comamonadaceae. The record is from RNAcentral.